UUAGAAGCAGCCAUCCUUUAAAGAAAGCGUAACAGCUCACUGGUCUAAAUAAGGGUUCCUGCGGCGAAGAUGUAACGGGACUAAAGGUAUUCACCGAAGCUUAGGGUGUACAGUUUACUGUACGCGGUAGCGGAGCGUUCCGUAAGUGGUUGAAGCCGAAGGGUAACCGACGGUGGACAUAUCGGAAGUGCGAAUGCUGACAUGAGUAGCGAUAAAGAGGGUGAGAUGCCCUCUCGCCGAAAGACCAAGGGUUCCUGCUCAACGCUAAUCGGAGCAGGGUUAGCCGGCCCCUAAGACGAGCCCGAAGGGGGUAGUCGAUGGGAACCACGUAAAUAUUCGUGGGCCUGAAGAUGUGUGACGAAUGGUGGAAGUUGUGUGUCCUUAUUGGAUUGGGCAUGCAGCCAAGCUGUUCCUGGAAAUAGCCUCUUCAUAUAGACCGUACCCGAAACCGACACAGGUGGUCAGGUA
RNAcentral lists this ribosomal RNA (468 nucleotides) under Dolichomastix tenuilepis. RNAcentral's name for it is "partial Bacterial large subunit ribosomal RNA". It matches the Rfam family "Bacterial large subunit ribosomal RNA", at positions 1106 to 1673 of the family's 2925-position model. Lineage: Eukaryota; Viridiplantae; Chlorophyta; Mamiellophyceae; Dolichomastigales; Dolichomastigaceae. The record is from RNAcentral.